GCGCUUAUCGCUUGAAGGUCGUAUGUGACUGCAGAAAAGGAGAUGAAAGGCAGAAGAAAACACAAAAGAUGGAAGGAUUACUAUUGAGGCUCACAAGACAACUGUCCAUGACAAAAUACUUGCCUUGAGGACAUACUGCAAGUCUGUGCUGAUUGCAGUAAGACAAGAUUGCAGACACUUCCUCAGUUGUCUUGGGUUUAAGAAGAACAGAAGACGCUCCCCGCACAGUCUCCAGCCAGUCUGUGUUGUGACUUUCUAGCUCUGAUUCAUUUUUUAUAAUUCGGUGUGGACCCAAGAGUUCAGUAAAAAAUUUGAUGUUUUG
Portunus trituberculatus (swimming crab) is the source of this 322-nucleotide long non-coding RNA. RefSeq lists it as uncharacterized. The record is from RefSeq and is a predicted model, not a curated record. The transcript has 2 exons. Lineage: Eukaryota; Metazoa; Arthropoda; Malacostraca; Decapoda; Portunidae.